CUGGUUGAUCCUGCCAGCUAGUCAUAUGCUUGUCUCAAAGAUUAACCAUGCAUGUCUAAGUAUAACUGCUAUACUGUGAAACUGCAAAUGGCUCAUUAAAUCAGUUAUAGUUUAUUGAUGGUACCUUUACUCGGAUACCGUAAAUUCUAGACUAAUACGUGCGUAAAUCCCGACUUCUGGAAGGGACGUAUUUAUUAGAUAAAAGGCCAGCCGGGCUUGCCCGACUCUUGGCGAAUCAUGAUAACUUCACGAAUCGUACGGCUUUAUGCCGGCGAUGUUUCAUUCAAAUUUCUGCCCUAUCAACUUUCGAUGGUAGGAUAGAGGCCUACCAUGGGGUAACGGGUGACGAAGAUCAGGGUCGAUUCCGGAGAGGGAGCCUGAGAAACGGUACCACAUCCAAGGAAGGCACGGCGCGCAAAUUACCCAAUCCCAACACGGGAGGUAGUGACAAUAAAUAACAACCGGGCAUUUUUGUCUGGUAAUGGAAUGAGACAAUCUAAAUCCCUUAACGAGUAUCCUUGGAGGGCAAGUCUGGUAAU
Molecule: ribosomal RNA, 539 nt
Filed under: uncultured eukaryote
Lineage: Eukaryota
Description: SSU rRNA
Rfam family: Eukaryotic small subunit ribosomal RNA
Source: RNAcentral